Non-coding RNA from Cinara cedri, 611 nucleotides. Lineage: Eukaryota; Metazoa; Arthropoda; Insecta; Hemiptera; Aphididae. The record is from the annotation of a GenBank genome assembly.
AAAAUAACAUUUUCAUUUCCUAUAAGACAAAUUAUUACUAGAACAAAUCCAAAAUAAUAAAACUGUUAUUGGCAUAAACUUUCAUAUUUGUCUACGAUUAUAGUGAAAAAUAUUUUAAAAAUCAAACAGAUGACUUUCCCAAUGCAUUGAACUAGAUCCAAAAAUUCUACAAGUAAAUAUGUAUGUUGUUUUUUAAUGGAGUCAAAUUGGUGGUAGAAAAAUUUUAAACAAAAGAGAGUAAAUAUAGUUUAUUUAAUACUGAAUUGCUUUUUAUAACUUACGGAGGCCAAAAUAAUUUAAAAAAUCAAUUGUAAAUCAAUUAAGCAAAAGUGUGUCUACUCAUAAAACAUAUUCCUAUCACAAAACUUUAGAUCGGAAGGAAUUAUAAACAAACUGCUAUGCAAUUUCAAUUCAAACAAAUACUGUAUUUAUAAGUAUAACAUUUUUAUCAAAUAUUGUAAAAAUGUAUAUCAAAACGAGUGAGAGAUUCUAGGACUCAUUUCAAUCAAAAAUAAUUAGGUAAUUUAAUUUUAAAAGUCAAAAUCUGAAUAAUGUUUGUUAUAGUCAAAUUUAUAUGCUUAAUAAAUUAAAUAAAAACUGUGUCUAAGGAU